UACGAAGGGGGCUAGCGUUGCUCGGAAUUACUGGGCGUAAAGGGAGCGUAGGCGGAUAGUUUAGUCAGAGGUGAAAGCCCAGGGCUCAACCUUGGAAUUGCCUUUGAUACUGGCUAUCUUGAGUACGGAAGAGGUAUGUGGAACUCCGAGUGUAGAGGUGAAAUUCGUAGAUAUUCGCAAGAACACCAGUGGCGAAGGCGGCUUACUGGCCCGAUACUGACGCUGAGGCACGAAAGCGUGGGGAGCAAACAGG
RNAcentral lists this ribosomal RNA (253 nucleotides) under uncultured bacterium. Its description in RNAcentral is "partial 16S ribosomal RNA". It matches the Rfam family "Bacterial small subunit ribosomal RNA", at positions 524 to 776 of the family's 1533-position model. The record is from RNAcentral.